GGGAUGUAGCUUAGUAGCAGAGCGUGUGCUUAGAAUGAGCAAGGGCCUGGGUUCAAUCCCCAGCAACACCA
RNAcentral lists this transfer RNA (71 nucleotides) under Heterocephalus glaber (naked mole-rat). It matches the Rfam family "tRNA". Rfam says of the family: Transfer RNA (tRNA) molecules are approximately 80 nucleotides in length. Their secondary structure includes four short double-helical elements and three loops (D, anti-codon, and T loops). Further hydrogen bonds mediate the characteristic L-shaped molecular structure. tRNAs have two regions of fundamental functional importance: the anti-codon, which is responsible for specific mRNA codon recognition, and the 3' end, to which the tRNAs corresponding amino acid is attached (by aminoacyl-tRNA synthetases). tRNAs cope with the degeneracy of the genetic code in two manners: having more than one tRNA (with a specific anti-codon) for a particular amino acid; and 'wobble' base-pairing, i.e. permitting non-standard base-pairing at the 3rd anti-codon position. Lineage: Eukaryota; Metazoa; Chordata; Mammalia; Rodentia; Bathyergidae. The record is from Rfam by way of RNAcentral.